This 479-nucleotide ribosomal RNA is filed under the name uncultured anaerobic ammonium-oxidizing bacterium. Its description in RNAcentral is "bacterial SSU rRNA". It matches the Rfam family "Bacterial small subunit ribosomal RNA", at positions 364 to 833 of the family's 1533-position model. The record is from RNAcentral.
UUUCGCAAUGCCCGAAAGGGUGACGAAGCGACGCCGCGUGAGUGAGGAGGGCCUUCGGGUUGUAAAGCUCUGUCAGGAGUUAAGAAAUAUAAGUGUGUUAAUACCACAUUUAUUUGACGAAGGCUCCAAAGGAAGCCACGGCUAACUCUGUGCCAGCAGCCGCGGUAAUACAGAGGUGGCAAGCGUCGUUCGGAAUUAUUGGGCGUAAAGAGCACGUAGGUGGGUUUGUGAGUCAGAUGUGAAAGCCUUCUGUUCAACGGAAGAAUUGCAUCUGAAACUGCGAGUCUUGAGUGUAGGAGGGGGGAAUGGAACUUCUGGUGGAGCGGUGAAAUGCGUAGAUAUCAGAAGGAACGCCGGCGGCGAAAGCGAUUCUCUGGCCUAUUACUGACACUCAGUGUGCGAGAGCUAGGGGAGCAAACGGGAUUAGAUACCCCGGUAGUCCUAGCUGUAAACGAUGGGCACUAAGUAGAGGGGUUUUA